This 350-nucleotide unclassified non-coding RNA is filed under the name soil metagenome. RNAcentral describes it as "partial contains 5.8S ribosomal RNA, internal transcribed spacer 2, and large subunit ribosomal RNA". The stretch from base 1 to 120 matches the Rfam family "5.8S ribosomal RNA", at positions 35 to 154 of the family's 154-position model. The record is from RNAcentral.
GAUGAAGAACGCAGCGAACUGCGAUAAGUAAUGUGAAUUGCAGAAUUCAGUGAAUCAUCGAGUCUUUGAACGCACAUUGCGCCCCCUGGCAUUCCGGGGGGCAUGCCUGUCCGAGCGUCAUUGCUGCCCUUCAAGCCCGGCUUGUGUGUUGGGUCGUCGUCCCCCCCGGGGGACGUGCCCGAAAGGCAGCGGCGGCACCGCGUCCGGUCCUCGAGCGUAUGGGGCUUUGUCACCCGCUCGAUUAGGGCCGGCCGGGCGCCAGCCGGCGUCUCCAACCUUCUAUUUUACCAGGUUGACCUCGGAUCAGGUAGGGAUACCCGCUGAACUUAAGCAUAUCAAUAAGCGGAGGA